This 72-nucleotide transfer RNA is filed under the name Camelus bactrianus (Bactrian camel). It matches the Rfam family "tRNA". Rfam says of the family: Transfer RNA (tRNA) molecules are approximately 80 nucleotides in length. Their secondary structure includes four short double-helical elements and three loops (D, anti-codon, and T loops). Lineage: Eukaryota; Metazoa; Chordata; Mammalia; Artiodactyla; Camelidae. The record is from Rfam by way of RNAcentral. RNAcentral also lists the same sequence under 2 other names.
GAGGAUAUAGCUCAAGUGGUAGAGCACAUGCUUAGCAUGCACGAGGUUCUGGGUUCAAUCCCUAGGACCUCC